GAGGGUAUAGCUCAGGGGUAGAGUGUGUGCUUAGCAUGUAUGAGGUCCUGGGUUUAAUCCCCAGUACCUCCA
RNAcentral lists this transfer RNA (72 nucleotides) under Camelus bactrianus (Bactrian camel). It matches the Rfam family "tRNA". From Rfam's summary of the family: Transfer RNA (tRNA) molecules are approximately 80 nucleotides in length. Their secondary structure includes four short double-helical elements and three loops (D, anti-codon, and T loops). The record is from Rfam by way of RNAcentral. RNAcentral also lists the same sequence under 2 other names. Lineage: Eukaryota; Metazoa; Chordata; Mammalia; Artiodactyla; Camelidae.